GCUGAGCAGUGGCGAAGGGGUGAGUAAUAUAUCGGAACGUGCCCUGUCGUGGGGGAUAACUGCUCGAGGAGCUACUAAUACCGCAUACGACCUGAGGGUGAAAGCGGGGGAUCGCAAGACCUCACGCGAUUGGAUCGGGCGAUAUCAGAUUAGGUAGUUGGUGGGGUAAAGGCCCACCAAGCCAACGAUCUGUAGCUGGUCUGAGAGGAUGACCAGCCACACUGGGACUGAGACACGGCCCUGACUCCUACGGGAGGCUCAGUGGGGAAUUUUGGACAAUGAAUUUUGGCCUGAUCCAGCCAUGCCGCGUGCGGGAAGAAGGCCUUCGGGUUGUAAACCGCUUUUGUCGGGAAUAAAAGGUUCUGGUUAAUACCUGGGACUCAUGACGGUACCUGAUGAAUAAGCACCGGCUAACUACGUGCCAGCAGCCGCGGUAAUACGUAGGGUGCAAGCGUUAAUCGGAAUUACUGGUCGUAAAGCGUGCGCAGGCGGUUAUGCAAGACAGAGGUGAAAUCCCCGGGCUCAACCUGGGAACUGCCUUUGUGACUGCAUGGCUAGAGUACGGUAGAGGGGGAUGGAAUUCCGCGUGUAGCAGUGAAAUGCGUAGAUAUGCUGAGG
This 618-nucleotide ribosomal RNA is filed under the name Pelomonas aquatica. RNAcentral's name for it is "bacterial SSU rRNA". It matches the Rfam family "Bacterial small subunit ribosomal RNA", at positions 87 to 704 of the family's 1533-position model. Lineage: Bacteria; Pseudomonadati; Pseudomonadota; Betaproteobacteria; Burkholderiales; Sphaerotilaceae. The record is from RNAcentral.